GGAGGAAAGUAGGGGAUCGUAAGACCUUGUGCUUUUGGAGCGGCCGAUGCCUGAUUAGCUAGUUGGUGGGGUAAAGGCUUACCAAGGCAACGAUCAGUAGUUGGUCUGAGAGGACGACCAGCCACACUGGGACUGAGACACGGCCCAGACUCCUACGGGAGGCAGCAGUGGGGAAUUUUGGACAAUGGGCGAAAGCCUGAUCCAGCAAUGCCGCGUGAGUGAAGAAGGCCUUCGGGUUGUAAAGCUCUUUCAGUCGAGAAGAAAAGGUUGUGACUAAUAAUCACAACUCAUGACGGUACCGACAGAAGAAGCACCGGCUAACUACGUGCCAGCAGCCGCGGUAAUACGUAGGGUGCAAGCGUUAAUCGGAAUUACUGGGCGUAAAGGGUGCGCAGGCGGCUUUGUAAGUCGGAUGUGAAAUCCCCGGGCUUAACCUGGGAAUUGCGUUUGAAACUACAAAGCUAG
RNAcentral lists this ribosomal RNA (465 nucleotides) under uncultured bacterium. RNAcentral describes it as "bacterial SSU rRNA". It matches the Rfam family "Bacterial small subunit ribosomal RNA", at positions 198 to 644 of the family's 1533-position model. The record is from RNAcentral.